This 127-nucleotide small RNA is filed under the name Marmota monax (woodchuck). The record is from RNAcentral. Lineage: Eukaryota; Metazoa; Chordata; Mammalia; Rodentia; Sciuridae.
GCUGGGCGUGGUGAUGCAUGCCUGUAAUCCCUGCAGCUCAGAAGGCUGAGGCAGGAGGAUCGUGAGUUUAAGGCCAGCUUCAGCAACUUAGGGAGGCCCUGAGCAACUUAGUAAGACCCUCUCUCUA